UGACCACGGGGGGCAGCAGCCGCGGUAAUACGUAGGUGGCAAGCGUUGUCCGGAAUUACUGGGUGUAAAGGGAGCGCAGGCGGGAAGCCAAGUCAGCUGUGAAAACUACGGGCUUAACUUGUAGACUGCAGUUGAAACUGGUUUUCUUGAGUGAAGUAGAGGUUGGCGGAAUUCCGAGUGUAGCGGUGAAAUGCGUAGAUAUUCGGAGGAACACCGGUGGCGAAGGCGGCCAACUGGGCUUUAACUGACGCUGAGGCUCGAAAGGGGGGGGAGCAAACAGGAUUAGAUACCCCGGUAGUCCGAGA
This 305-nucleotide ribosomal RNA is filed under the name uncultured bacterium. RNAcentral's name for it is "bacterial SSU rRNA". It matches the Rfam family "Bacterial small subunit ribosomal RNA", at positions 498 to 803 of the family's 1533-position model. The record is from RNAcentral.